CGAGCCAGCCGUCCUGUGCCGAGCGGGCUGCGACGGCGCCGCCGCGCGUGGCGCUCGGAGCCUGGGCAGUGGGCGAAAGUCUCGUCCCACCUGCCCGUCCCAAGCGGACCCGCGCCAGGCUGCCAGGUCACCCCCGGCGCAACCUGGCGCG
RNAcentral lists this small RNA (151 nucleotides) under Pseudomonas aeruginosa PAK. RNAcentral's name for it is "potential sRNA". The record is from RNAcentral. Lineage: Bacteria; Pseudomonadati; Pseudomonadota; Gammaproteobacteria; Pseudomonadales; Pseudomonadaceae.